UUUCCAACUCACCUCUAUUUAAUACCAAACAAUCUUAUAAACCCUUAUUAACUAUUGGAAGACUCCAUAGCCUAUGGAGGACACUAUGCUUGAACUAGUAACAAGAACAUGAAUUUCUCCUAAAUAUUAGUGUAAGCCGCAACAGACAAACUAACGGCAAUCAACGUCAAUAAUUCUAAUAUAAUAACCCCCAAGAAAAAUUAUAAAACCCAACGUUACCCUUACACAAGUAUAUUACAGGAAAGAUUAAAAGAAAGAGAAGGAACUCGGCAAACUCCCUACCCCGCCUGUUUACCAAAAACAUCGCCUCUUGCUAAACCAUAAGAGGUCCAGCCUGCCCAGUGAAUAUUAAACGGCCGCGGUACCCUAACCGUGCUAAGGUAGCACAAUUACUUGUCCUUUAAAUGGGGACUAGAAUGAAAGGCAUCACGAGGGUUUUACUGUCUCCUCUUUUUAAUCAGUGAAACUGACUUCCCCGUGAAAAGGCGGGAAUUAAUAUAUUAGACGAGAAGACCCCAUGGAGCUUUAGACACGAAGCAAAUCUAAGCCCCCUACUCCUCCCCAGCUCCAAUCUUUACCUUCAAGUCUUCGGUUGGGGCAACCAUGGAGUAAAAAUUAACCUCCAUACCGAAUGGAAUAUUCCUUAUUCAAGAAUUACCACUCUAAAAAACAGAAUACUGACGCCCACUGAUCCGGAACCCGAUCAAUGAACCAAGUUACCCUGGGGAUAACAGCGCUAUCUACCUAGAGAGCUCAUAUCGACAGGUAGGUUUACGACCUCGAUGUUGGAUCAGGGUAUCCUAGUGGUGCAGCCGCUAUAUUAGGUUCG
This 829-nucleotide ribosomal RNA is filed under the name Cornufer exedrus. RNAcentral describes it as "partial 16S ribosomal RNA". It matches the Rfam family "Bacterial large subunit ribosomal RNA", at positions 1216 to 2575 of the family's 2925-position model. Lineage: Eukaryota; Metazoa; Chordata; Amphibia; Anura; Ceratobatrachidae. The record is from RNAcentral.